This 101-nucleotide small RNA is filed under the name Actinomycetota bacterium. RNAcentral's name for it is "Actinobacteria bacterium Guanidine-I sequence". It matches the Rfam family "Guanidine-I riboswitch aptamer". From Rfam's summary of the family: This family represents a conserved RNA structure found upstream of the ykkC and yxkD genes in Bacillus subtilis and related genes in other bacteria. Lineage: Bacteria; Bacillati; Actinomycetota. The record is from RNAcentral.
GCGGGGCGCACCUAGGGUUCCGCCGGUGAUCCGGGACUGGUCCGAGAGGUGCAGGCGGCACCGCCGGUGCCGCUCCACGGCGGGGGAAAAGCCCGGGAGGC